Molecule: ribosomal RNA, 695 nt
Filed under: uncultured bacterium
Lineage: Bacteria
Description: bacterial SSU rRNA
Rfam family: Bacterial small subunit ribosomal RNA
Source: RNAcentral
AACGCUAGCUACAGGCUUGACACAUGCAAGUCGAGGGGCAGCAUUUUAGUUUGCUUGCAAACUAAAGAUGGCGACCGGCGCACGGGUGAGUAACACGUAUCCAACCUGCCGAUAACUCGGGGAUAGCCUUUCGAAAGAAAGAUUAAUAUCCGAUAGUAUAUUAAAACCGCAUGGUUUUACUAUUAAAGAAUUUCGGUUAUCGAUGGGGAUGCGUUCCAUUAGUUUGUUGGCGGGGUAACGGCCCACCAAGACUACGAUGGAUAGGGGUUCUGAGAGGAAGGUCCCCCACAUUGGAACUGAGACACGGUCCAAACUCCUACGGGAGGCAGCAGUGAGGAAUAUUGGUCAAUGGACGAGAGUCUGAACCAGCCAAGUAGCGUGAAGGAUGACUGCCCUAUGGGUUGUAAACUUCUUUUAUAUGGGAAUAAAGUAUUCCACGUGUGGGAUUUUGUAUGUACCAUAUGAAUAAGGAUCGGCUAACUCCGUGCCAGCAGCCGCGGUAAUACGGAGGAUCCGAGCGUUAUCCGGAUUUAUUGGGUUUAAAGGGAGCGUAGGUGGAUUGUUAAGUCAGUUGUGAAAGUUUGCGGCUCAACCGUAAAAUUGCAGUUGAAACUGGCAGUCUUGAGUACAGUAGAGGUGGGCGGAAUUCGUGGUGUAGCGGUGAAAUGCUUAGAUAUCACGAAGAACUCCGAUUG